RNAcentral lists this ribosomal RNA (485 nucleotides) under uncultured bacterium. Its description in RNAcentral is "partial 16S ribosomal RNA". It matches the Rfam family "Bacterial small subunit ribosomal RNA", at positions 899 to 1397 of the family's 1533-position model. The record is from RNAcentral.
ACUCAAAUGAAUUGACGGGGACCCGCACAAGCGGAGGAUGAUGUGGUUUAAUAUGACGCUACGCGUAGAACCUUACCGAGGCUUGACAUCCUUGGAAUCCACUGGAAACAGAGGAGUGCCGCAAGGAGCCAAGUGACAGGUGCUGCAUGGCCGUCGUCAGCUCGUGUUGUGAAAUGUUGGGUUAAGUCCCGCAACGAGCGCAACCCUUAUCGUAUGUUGUAUUUUUCAUGCGAGACUGCCCGGGCCAACCGGGAGGAAGGUGGGGAUGAAGUCAGGUCGGCAUGGCCCUUACGCCUCGGGCCACACACGUCAUACAAUGGCCGGUACAACGCGCCGCUAAGCCGCGAGGCGGAGCUAAUCGCAUCAAAACCGGUCUCAGUUCGGAUUGGAGGCUGCAACUCGCCUCCAUGAAGUCGGAUUCGCUAGUAAACGCAGGUCAGCAUACUGCGUUGAAUACGUUCCCGGGUCUUGUACACACCGCCCGU